This 730-nucleotide small RNA is filed under the name Pan troglodytes (chimpanzee). RNAcentral describes it as "processed transcript". Lineage: Eukaryota; Metazoa; Chordata; Mammalia; Primates; Hominidae. The record is from RNAcentral.
CCAACGGCAGCUGAGUGAAAGCAAGCUGACUGGCCUGUGUGACCAGAGCAGGGCAGGCUGUCCAUGUGGGAGGCGAGUUCUGUAGUUUCGAAGUUCAGCGUGGGUCUCACUGGUCUAAAAUCAAAGUGUCAGUGGGGCUAGGUUCCUUCUGGAUGCUCUGGGGAAGAAUCCAUUUCCUUGCCCUUUCUGGCUUCUAGAGGCUGCCUGAAUACCUUGACUCACGGCCCCUCCCUCCAUCUUCAAAGCCAGCAACAGCCUGUUUUCCUCACGUGGAUUCACUCUGACCUCCACAUAUCCUGCAGCUCCUGAAAGGCAAGCUGGUGGUGGGUCAUGACCUGAAGCACGACUUCCAGGCACUGAAAGAGGACAUGAGCGGCUACACAAUCUACGACACGUCCACUGACAGGCUGUUGUGGCGUGAGGCCAAGCUGGACCACUGCAGGCGUGUCUCCCUGCGGGUGCUGAGUGAGCGCCUCCUGCACAAGAGCAUCCAGAACAGCCUGCUUGGACACAGCUCGGUGGAAGAUGCGAGGGCAACGAUGGAGCUCUAUCAAAUCUCCCAGAGAAUCCGAGCCCGCCGAGGGCUGCCCCGCCUGGCUGUGUCAGACUGAAGCCCCAUCCAGCCCGUUCCGCAGGGACUAGAGGCUUUCGGCUUUUUGGGACAGCAACUACCUUGCUUUUGGAAAAUACAUUUUUAAUAGUAAAGUGGCUCUAUAUUUUCUCUACGCCA